This 244-nucleotide unclassified non-coding RNA is filed under the name uncultured fungus. Its description in RNAcentral is "sequence contains ITS2". The stretch from base 1 to 52 matches the Rfam family "5.8S ribosomal RNA", at positions 103 to 154 of the family's 154-position model. The record is from RNAcentral. Lineage: Eukaryota; Fungi.
AACGCACAUUGCGCCCGCCGGUAUCCCGGCGGGCAUGCCUGUCCGAGCGUCAUUGCAACCCUCAGGUCCUCGCGCCUGGUGUUGGGGCCCUGCGCGGCAGGCCCCGAAAGACAGCGGCGGGUGCGUCCCGGAACCGAACGCAGUAGUUACCUCUCGUUCCGGCCCAGGGCGCGCUCCAGCCGUAAAACGCUCCAACUUUUCUCAAGUUGACCUCGGAUCAGGUAGGAAUACCCGCUGAACUUAA